Molecule: long non-coding RNA, 633 nt
Organism: Hippocampus comes (tiger tail seahorse)
Lineage: Eukaryota; Metazoa; Chordata; Actinopteri; Syngnathiformes; Syngnathidae
Exons: 3
Source: RefSeq, a predicted model, not a curated record
GCAACCGUGAUGUCAUUUUCAGUCGACAUCUCGUGGCAAAAUGGCUGCCCAUCUAAGACGGAGAAAAAGGCAAACACGACCGCAAUAUCAACCUGAAUGACAUUUUUUGACUGUAGUGGCAACACACAUGACUGUAAAGAACAUUUUUUGACGUGACCUGCCCUUAAAUUGCACUCCCCUUCGAAUAUUUUUCAUGCGUUCCACUCUCGUUAGGUCAACGAGGGUAAAUGGUGACAUCAUCAUCAAUCAAUGACAUCAUCUUUCCAUGAUCAGGAGCAACAGGUGAAGCUUGAAGGCUGGAAGUGUGGCCGAGAGAGAGAGACAGAUGGAAAGAGAGAGAUGAUGGAAAAAUUCGGUAGACACGGGCGGCAUUUUAGCGGACGUGUAGCUCAUCCCCAGCAGAUCCUGCAGACCCCCGGCCCCAAUGACUACCAACAGCACAAUGACAAAUACGGUAUGACCAACGAGAGGCUGAACAUGAGGCUUUCCUUGUUGGCGCUAACUGUACAUGACCUUACGUUGAGGUUUUUCAUAUGUCAGCUGACAAUGAUCAUUGCAGCGAGUGGAAUUUCAUUUCGAACUUCCUGACAACCCCCCGGCCCCCUCCACCUCCACCAGUCUCCUUCGGCUGCC